Molecule: ribosomal RNA, 253 nt
Filed under: uncultured bacterium
Lineage: Bacteria
Description: partial 16S ribosomal RNA
Rfam family: Bacterial small subunit ribosomal RNA
Source: RNAcentral
UACGGAGGGAGCUAGCGUUAUUCGGAAUUACUGGGCGUAAAGCGUGCGCAGGCGGCUAUGCAAGACAGAUGUGAAAUCCCCGGGCUCAACCUGGGAACUGCAUUUGUGACUGCAUGGCUAGAGUACGGUAGAGGGGGAUGGAAUUCCGCGUGUAGCAGUGAAAUGCGUAGAUAUGCGGAGGAACACCGAUGGCGAAGGCAAUCCCCUGGACCUGUACUGACGCUCAUGCACGAAAGCGUGGGGAGCAAACAGG